This 254-nucleotide ribosomal RNA is filed under the name uncultured prokaryote. RNAcentral describes it as "partial 16S ribosomal RNA". It matches the Rfam family "Bacterial small subunit ribosomal RNA", at positions 525 to 777 of the family's 1533-position model. The record is from RNAcentral.
ACGUAGGGGGCGAGCGUUGUCCGAAGUUACUGGGCGUAAAGCGCGCGUAGGCGGGGGGUUAAGUGAGAGGUGAAAGGCUGAGGCUCAACCUCAUGCAGUGCCUCUCAUACUGGCCUUCUUGAGGGCGGUAGGGAGAAGUGGAAUGGCUGGUGUAGCGGUGAAAUGCGUAGAUAUCGGGAGGAACACCAGUGGCGAAGGCGACUUCCUGGCCUGUUCUUGACGCUGAGGCGCGAAAGCUAGGGUAGCAAACGGGA